GACGAACGCUGGCGGCGUGCUUAACACAUGCAAGUCGAACGGAAAGGCCUGCUUUCCCUUGUGGAUUGCGGGUACUCGAGUGGCGAACGGGUGAGUAACACGUGAGUGAUCUGCCCCCAACUUGGGUAUAAGCCUGGGAAACUGGGUCUAAUUCCCGAUAGGACUGCAGGGUGGUGCCUGUGGUGGAAAACGAUUUUCUAGUGGUUGGGGAUGAGCUCGCGGCCUAUCAGCUUGUUGGUGGGGUAAUGGCCUACCAAGGCGGCGACGGGUAGCCGGCCUGAGGGGGUGGACGGCCGCGUUGGGACUGAGAUACGGCCCAGACUCCUACGGGAGGCAGCAGUGGGGAAUAUUGCACAAUGGGCGGAAGCCUGAUGCAGCGACGCCGCGUGGGGGAUGACGGCCUUCGGGUUGUAAACUCCUUUCGACCGCGAGGAAGCCACCUGGUUGGAAGGGUGGUGACGGUAGUGGUAGAAGAAGCACCGGCUAACUACGUG
This 494-nucleotide ribosomal RNA is filed under the name uncultured bacterium. Its description in RNAcentral is "partial 16S ribosomal RNA". It matches the Rfam family "Bacterial small subunit ribosomal RNA", at positions 28 to 507 of the family's 1533-position model. The record is from RNAcentral.